RNAcentral lists this long non-coding RNA (235 nucleotides) under Homo sapiens (human). RNAcentral's name for it is "long non-coding RNA NONHSAT212599". The record is from RNAcentral. Lineage: Eukaryota; Metazoa; Chordata; Mammalia; Primates; Hominidae.
AAGGACAGAAAAAACCCCUGAAAAUUGCUACCCAGGAUUUCAGCAAAGAAGAUGUAGAGGAGAGAUGGGCCUAUUUCAUGGGAUCCACUGUACCAUGUAACUCCAGAAGUUGCCAGCUGACAGUGAUAAACUGGCCUCUUAAAGGUGCAUGUUAGAUGCCAGCAGCUCAGUGAUACCCCAUGAUGAGUGGUCACAACUCUUUAGGAUGUGGACAGCUCUUAAACCAAUGCAGGUA